This 96-nucleotide Y RNA is filed under the name Propithecus coquereli (Coquerel's sifaka). RNAcentral describes it as "Y RNA (ENSPCOG00000011611.1)". It matches the Rfam family "Y RNA". Rfam says of the family: Y RNAs are components of the Ro ribonucleoprotein particle (Ro RNP), in association with Ro60 and La proteins. The Y RNAs and Ro60 and La proteins are well conserved, but the function of the Ro RNP is not known. The record is from Rfam by way of RNAcentral. Lineage: Eukaryota; Metazoa; Chordata; Mammalia; Primates; Indriidae.
GGCUGGUCCACUGGUAGUGGGUUACCAGAACUUAUUAACAUUAGUGUCACUAAAGUUGGGGCACAACCCCCGACUGCUAAAUUUCACUGGCUUUAA